GAUGAAGAACGUAGCGAAAUGCGAUAAGUAAUGUGAAUUGCAGAAUUCAGUGAAUCAUCGAAUCUUUGAACGCACAUUGCGCCCGCCAGUAUUCUGGCGGGCAUGCCUGUUCGAGCGUCAUUUCAACCAUCAAGCCCUGCUUGCGUUGGGGUCCUGCGGCUGCCCGCAGGCCCUGAAAACCAGUGGCGGGCUCGCUAGUCACACCGAGCGCAGUAAUACAUCUCGCUUUGGGCGUGCGGCGGGUUCUUGCCGUUAAACACCCCCUUUUUGCCAAGGUUGACCUCGGAUCAGGUAGGAAUACCCGCUGAACUUAAGCAUAUCAAUAAGCGGAGGA
RNAcentral lists this unclassified non-coding RNA (334 nucleotides) under soil metagenome. Its description in RNAcentral is "partial contains 5.8S ribosomal RNA, internal transcribed spacer 2, and large subunit ribosomal RNA". The stretch from base 1 to 120 matches the Rfam family "5.8S ribosomal RNA", at positions 35 to 154 of the family's 154-position model. The record is from RNAcentral.